RNAcentral lists this ribosomal RNA (468 nucleotides) under uncultured bacterium. RNAcentral's name for it is "partial 16S ribosomal RNA". It matches the Rfam family "Bacterial small subunit ribosomal RNA", at positions 28 to 507 of the family's 1533-position model. The record is from RNAcentral.
GACGAACGCUGGCGGCGUGCUUAACACAUGCAAGUCGAACGGAAAGGCCCUGCUUUUGUGGGGUGCUCGAGUGGCGAACGGGUGAGUAACACGUGAGUAACCUGCCCUUGACUUUGGGAUAACUUCAGGAAACUGGGGCUAAUACCGGAUAGGAGCUCCUGCUGCAUGGUGGGGGUUGGAAAGUUUCGGCGGUUGGGGAUGGACUCGCGGCUUAUCCGCUUGUUGGUGGGGUAGUGGCUUACCAAGGCUUUGACGGGUAGCCGGCCUGAGAGGGUGACCGGCGACAUUGGGACUGAGGGACGGACCAGAAGCCUACGGGAGGCAGCAGUGGGGAAUAUGGCACAAUGGGCGGAAGCCUGAUGCAGCAACGCCGGGUGCGGGAUGACGGCCUUCGGGUUGUAAACCGCUUUCGCCUGUGACGAAGCGUGAGUGACGGUAAUGGGUAAAGAAGCACCGGCUAACUACGUG